CCUGGUGGCUUAGAUGGUAAAGCGUCUGCCUGCAAUGCAGGAGACCCAGGUUCGAUCCCUGGGUCAGGA
Molecule: transfer RNA, 69 nt
Filed under: Capra hircus (goat)
Lineage: Eukaryota; Metazoa; Chordata; Mammalia; Artiodactyla; Bovidae
Also listed under: 1 other name
Rfam family: tRNA
About the family: Transfer RNA (tRNA) molecules are approximately 80 nucleotides in length. Their secondary structure includes four short double-helical elements and three loops (D, anti-codon, and T loops). Further hydrogen bonds mediate the characteristic L-shaped molecular structure. tRNAs have two regions of fundamental functional importance: the anti-codon, which is responsible for specific mRNA codon recognition, and the 3' end, to which the tRNAs corresponding amino acid is attached (by aminoacyl-tRNA synthetases). tRNAs cope with the degeneracy of the genetic code in two manners: having more than one tRNA (with a specific anti-codon) for a particular amino acid; and 'wobble' base-pairing, i.e. permitting non-standard base-pairing at the 3rd anti-codon position.
Source: Rfam by way of RNAcentral